RNAcentral lists this ribosomal RNA (675 nucleotides) under Marinicella litoralis. RNAcentral's name for it is "bacterial SSU rRNA". It matches the Rfam family "Bacterial small subunit ribosomal RNA", at positions 74 to 744 of the family's 1533-position model. The record is from RNAcentral. Lineage: Bacteria; Pseudomonadati; Pseudomonadota; Gammaproteobacteria; Lysobacterales; Marinicellaceae.
GCUUGCUUCUUUGCUGACGAGUGGCGGACGGGUGAGUAACGCGUGGGAAUCUACCUCGUAGUUGGGGAUAGCCCGGAGAAAUCCGGAUUAAUACCGAAUAAGAUCUACGGAUGAAAAGGUGCCUCUGCUUGCAAGCACUUGCUAUGAGAUGAGCCCGCGUUAGAUUAGUUAGUUGGUGGGGUAAAGGCCUACCAAGACGACGAUCUAUAGCUGGUUUGAGAGGAUGAUCAGCCACAUUGGGACUGAGACACGGCCCAGACUCCUACGGGAGGCAGCAGUGGGGAAUAUUGGACAAUGGGCGCAAGCCUGAUCCAGCAAUACCGCGUGUGUGAAGAAGGCCUUCGGGUUGUAAAGCACUUUUAUGUAGGAAGAAGGAUUGUAAGUUAAUAGCUUGCGAUUUUGACGGUACUACAGGAAUAAGCACCGGCUAACUCCGUGCCAGCAGCCGCGGUAAUACGGAGGGUGCGAGCGUUAAUCGGAAUUACUGGGCGUAAAGGGUACGUAGGCGGCUUGAUAAGUCAGAUGUGAAAUCCCCGGGCUUAACCUGGGAACUGCAUUUGAAACUGUCUGGCUAGAGUGAGUGAGAGGUUAGUGGAAUUCAAGGCGUAGCGGUGAAAUGCGUAGAGGUCUUGAGGAACAUCAGUGGCGAAGGCGACUAACUGGCACUACACUGAC